CGUGUUUUAAUCGCCCCAACGCCACUCCAACGAUUUCACAACCGUAACCGUAACCUGUUUUAAUAUAAAUAAAUUGCGGUUUGUUGUGCAGCCGGAGCCUUCUGGUCCCAACGAGCAUCCGGUCUCGUCCCCCCUCACCUCUGGACUCUGGAGUGAAAACCAAAGACCCGCCUCCCACGACAGGAAGCCGUCGGGUAAAAAAUGUCCUGCUUAUUUACAACACGGAAGCUCGGUGACCACCAGGCAGAAACCGGGACACGUUUCUGUGAUCAAAUCUUCCCGGCGGGUGACAAUGAGUGGAAGCCCUCCAGCGAGCCGACCCGGCACGCUCGCCCCGUUUGCCAAAGAGCCAUUGUCUUAUUGUUGCUUUACACAAUGUGACUUGUUAAACCUGCAAAUGAACUCGCAUUGUAACAACGGCAUCUGGUCCCGGUUCACUUUCUUCGGGAUCGCCUCCGUAAUGGGGACGAAUGAGCCCGUCGCCGAGGAGCUUGAGGUGUGUCUGCAGAGGAGGUUCAAUCGGAUCUUUUUACAUUCCGGUUGUCGCGUCACACUUUGCAAUCGACGCGUCUCCCGUCACGUUUUGCACUGGGCAGAAAGCGCCGCUCGCAUCUGGAAAAGGACGGACGGACGGGAGGAUCAACCCGCCGCCGCCCAUUUGAGAAGAAGCGAGAUGAUCUCGGCUGCAGCGCAGUCGCCACGUCGGUGUUCACGCCACCUCUCCAGGUCAGACAGCGCAGAGCGGAUCCCGUCACGUCUCACGCAGCUGUCUGCGUAAACUCCGCCGCCGCCGAGCCCCUUCAGCGGACACAGAAGCAGAUGAGGACCGAAGUGGAGGACAGCCGGAGGACGGCCGGUCCUCCUUCCUGCGCCCAGAACCAUCGAGCGAGCUCCUCCGAGGUGUAGUUAGCUCAUCCAGCCGUGUGCAUGAUGGAUGAUCCCAGGGACGCGCCGGUUCUGACCCAGCUUGGAAUCAGCAGCAGUGUCUCCCCCGCGUUCAAAUCAGAUCUUUAAAUAAACCACAGCCACGUAAACGCAGCGAGCGUCAUUCACAUAAAAAAACAGUCGUCCUUUGCUAAAAAGACAAGCGGCUUCAGACCGUUUUCACUCCUUCUGAACACAGAGACGUUGGACAAUUCUUAUACUAAGACUACGACGAUAACGCCUCGAGGGAGGACGUCAGGUUGCGUGCUGUAAAGACAUUUGGGUCAAACAAGGACACGCGUGUUUGUGGCGUGUGGAAGCUUCAUCUCGCCACCUUGAAGGUGUUUGAUGCAGGAACCCUGGGGAGUUAGAAGGUACGAGCGCAGCACAGUGUUUGGUGAUGUCGUUGCGGCGCAUCCCGCAAAACCCGCGGCAUUGUUGUUGACAGUCGGCGACGAGGAAGUCCGGGGCACUGAGGCUCUGCUGCAGCUCCUCGCUCGCACUCGGUCCGUUGUUCUUCCUCUAAGUGAAUUAAAGCACGAUAUCCACCGCAUUCAGGGCGCCGCCGCUGCUGUUUCCAAGUCACAAGGUCAGGGUCCCGCUGGCCGCAGGAGACGACCUCUGAGCCCCGAGAUCCACUUCAGCCCCUCAGAUGUUGUUCUCAGAGUCGAGCUGUCAAACUGUUCCUC
This is a long non-coding RNA of Gasterosteus aculeatus aculeatus (three-spined stickleback), 1613 nucleotides long. The record is from Ensembl. NCBI's taxonomy places the organism in Eukaryota, Metazoa, Chordata, Actinopteri, Perciformes, Gasterosteidae.